UAACACGUAGGGGGCGAGCGUUGUCCGGAUUUAUUGGGCGUAAAGAGCUCGUAGGCGGUUCGAUAAGUCGGGUGUGAAAACUCUGGGCUCAACUCAGAGACGCCACCCGAUACUGUUGUGACUUGAGUCCGGUAGGGGAGUAUGGAAUUCCCGGUGUAGCGGUGAAAUGCGCAGAUAUCGGGAGGAACACCAGUGGCGAAGGCGGUACUCUGGGCCGGAACUGACGCUGAGGAGCGAAAGCGUGGGUAGCGAACAGGAUUAGAUACCCUGGUAGUCCACGCCGUAAACGUUGGGCACUAGGUGUGGGUCUCAACCAACGGGAUCCGUGCCGCAGCUAACGCAUUAAGUGCCCCGCCUGGGGAGUACGGCCGCAAGGCUA
This 379-nucleotide ribosomal RNA is filed under the name uncultured bacterium. RNAcentral's name for it is "bacterial SSU rRNA". It matches the Rfam family "Bacterial small subunit ribosomal RNA", at positions 521 to 896 of the family's 1533-position model. The record is from RNAcentral.